This is a long non-coding RNA of Papaver somniferum (opium poppy), 3082 nucleotides long. RefSeq lists it as uncharacterized. The transcript has 5 exons. The record is from RefSeq and is a predicted model, not a curated record. NCBI's taxonomy places the organism in Eukaryota, Viridiplantae, Streptophyta, Magnoliopsida, Ranunculales, Papaveraceae.
AUACAUACAUUCUUAGCAUCUCUGAGACUGUCACAGUGAGUUACUUUUCGUCUAUUGAAGGAAAGCUUGGGUUUUUGAUACAUUGGAUUGCAAACAGAUUCAAUUUUGGUGCAAAAAAAUGUCUGGACAUCAAAUGAGGAUGUGAUUACUACGAUGGCUAAUCAGCACCAUGAAGAGAAAAUCUAGAGGAAGCGCUAGAACUGUCAGUGAUGAUUUAUAUAAUUCAAUGGCUGCUAUUUCCUCUGUUGCGGAGUAGAAAUGCUAUCAAAUCACAGGAGAAGGAAAUCCAUGUUGAGUUUUCAUUAAUAAAAGUAUGUCCCCGCUUUAUGCGUUAACGAAAAGGGAGCAUCGUGUUCCAUCUUAGGACCGAAGUAGGAAAAAAGAAGUUAAACACGAACUCUGAUACCAGGCAGGGAUAUUGGUGCACAUGGAUUUGUUCAAUUACGAAGAAAGGUAAGUUUUAUUGUUAAUUUUUAGAUUGUACAUUAUUUAUCAUAAUAAUCAUGGGUCUUGCGGCUGAAUUGGGUUGUUUUUCUCCCUCGAUGAAUGAACGGGAAGAGGAAGUACGUUCUGCUUUUGAUAACUUAUAUCCAGGAAAAACACUUGGAUUUAUGGAAGGUGCGUAUGAAAUAUGUUUGUUUCCUUGGCCUACAAUUUGUCUCUUAUUUUUGUUGAAUUUCCAAAUUCAAAUUUGUCUCUUAUUUUUCUCCACUUCCUGAUAUAAUGAUAUAGAUUGAAGCUAGCUUGAUCUUGGGAUUUCUUGCUAAUGAUCUUCUAAUGAUCUCGACAAUUAAGGGUGGGAAAUGCAAGUAUUAAUUAUCUGUCCGUUAGAGAGCUCAAACUAUUUAAGGUUACAAUUAAGAUUUGCUAGAAAUGGCUAAUGUUUGACAUUUAACAUGUAUUUGUUACGUUAUAUGUGCAUUAAGACUGGCUAGAAAAUGGCUAAUGUUUGAGAUUCUCACUGUAGCAUGAACAUUCAAGAAAUUCGGUUGGCCAGAUGACUUCAAAUUUGGAGAAUGUUUGUGGCAAGCAACUUCGAAGGUUGAAUUUAUAAAUGUCUGGUUUUAAUAAGCAAGUCGGUAAAAAUUCUUUGAUGUAAGCAUUAGGACCACUAUGCUGCCCCACAUCGUAGUGAAAAUAAAAUUUGGGUCCAAAUUCUGUGUUUUUUUCAUUAGAUAGGGUACUCCGAUACAUUUGUAUGAUGUUUAGAUAUUUGUAAUGGUGAUCUAAUUGGUCAGGCAUGUUUUUUUUUUUUUUUAGUCCGGAGUGAAGGGAGUUGAGGUGGAUUUGGGUAAUCAAGUUGUAGUAUUGUGGUAGUGCUCAGUUCUUCUCUUGGAGAUGAGUUACACGCCAUCAUUCCCGAAAGUCAUAUCUUGAAGUUCGAUAAGAAUAUCCAAGAGGGUGGUUUGUGUAUCUAUUAGGUUUCUCUAUUUCAGUAAGUUUAUCUGUUAUAUCUAAUAAUGUUGCACAAAACUGAACUUCAUUGAAUCACAGGUAUAUCUAAUAAUUUUGGUGGUACGCUCCGCUUGACCUUGGCUACUGUGUCGUUAGGAGAACUCUUUCGGUCAUGAAAAUUAAUCUAAUUGCAACUGAAACACUAAAUUUAAUAUGAAACAUUUCAGGUUAGCAGCAAACCAUCUUGCUAGCCAGUGCUAAAUUCUUUUGGAACUUAUCUCCUGCAGUAGCUUGCUAUUACUGCCAUUGUGUAAGAUUUCUUCCCUGAUAUAUUUUUUUCGCUCAUUUUAUAGGCUAACUGCAGUCACUUAUUUUUAAAUGUUCACCCAAAAAGAUCCAAUACGUAUUCAAUAAUUUCUUUCUUAAUCAUAUUAUUCUCUCUGAUAAGGUUAGAGCUUUCAUACAUUUACAUAAUUUGCUCGGCUAUAUGAUGGUUUUGGAUGGAGUAACUUAGAAGUUGAAUGUAAGACUUCACUUUUAGAAACCAAUAUUACUUACGGAUGUUACCUAAUCCAAAAAAAUAGUGAAUUUGAUUAACGAUGUUGUGUAUAAUGCACUUUGUAAACAUUCAUAUUCCUUCUCAAAAAGAAUAAAGCUUUUAUUUCUCUGAUGUGGCUUAUUGUGAUUUGGUCCGGUUAAUUUGAGGUUACCCAAAUCUCUUGAAGGAUUUACCAUGUGGUUUUGUUUUCAUGACUACAGAAAAUUGCAGAAUUUGAUGAUGCACAUGAUGCAAAACCUCUAAAAUUGAGCGGAGGAAGCAUUAAAUUUAACAAUGUACAUUUUAAGAUUAUUACUCAGUAUACUUAAUAUCACGUACGUAUUAGGUGCUUGCUUGCAUACACAUCUUUGCUUUGUUGUGACUUUUGCACUUAAAGCGUACCUUCCCCAUGCCAUGUACCUUUCUCGGUUACUCUUCACAAUGCCUUUCACUGGUACUUGAUGAAAUCUUUGUUUUAACCUUUAAACAUAGGCGGUUCGCGUGCAACUGAACUGCUUUUUUGUGGCUCUUAUCGUCUCUUCAGCUGGCUUAAACUAUUAGGAGUUAUCAUAUUGUCUCUUGAUGAUCUAUGGAGGACAUACCUUUGGACGAGUUUGCUCAAUUUUUUUUCUGUUGCCAGGAAUCUAAGUUUGUUGUAAUCGGUAUGAAAAGUUUCCUUCUAUUAUUAACUGAAUCACUCUUUGAUUGUUUGUAGAUUUUGUAGUUGCAGGUUGUGGGAUGGGUAUAUCCACCUUUCUGAAAGUAGAGAUCCAAAUCUGCACAUGUAAAUAAGGAUUUGGUAUUGGUGAGUUAUUGUUAUGGCUUGACAUUGUAAUUGAAUCGCCUUUGAACUUGCACGAUAAUGACGAUAUCUUGCUCGACAUAACUUCAAAAGCCAAAGGAGUAUUAAGAAAGGUUAUCCUAAAAUAUCCUGUAAGAAUCACAGAUGACUUCAAAAGCGUCAUACGGGGCAAUUUUUUCAUAUAAAAGGUACUUGGGAUUUAACCAUCUAAUAAUUAUCCUUUACUUCUAAUGCUACUAUAAUGCAUACUUAGCAGCAACAGUUUUAUUGUUAAAUUAAUUAGACAUGUGAAAUCUAAUUGGAUACUAUGUAUAUAAGUGAAUGGUUAUACCAGAUUUUUUUUUUUU